This 617-nucleotide ribosomal RNA is filed under the name uncultured Thelephoraceae. RNAcentral's name for it is "eukaryotic LSU rRNA". It matches the Rfam family "Eukaryotic large subunit ribosomal RNA", at positions 55 to 652 of the family's 3401-position model. The record is from RNAcentral. Lineage: Eukaryota; Fungi; Basidiomycota; Agaricomycetes; Thelephorales; Thelephoraceae.
AGAAAAGAAACUAACAAGGAUUCCCCUAGUAACUGCGAGUGAAGCGGGAAGAGCUCAAAUUUAAAAUCUGGCGUGCCUCUGGUCGUCCGAGUUGUAGUCUGGAGAAGUGUUUUCCGUGUCGGACCGUGUACAAGUCUCUUGGAACAGGGCGUCAUAGAGGGUGAGAAUCCCGUCUUUGACAUGGACUACCGAUGCUUUGUGAUGCGCUCUCAAAGAGUCGAGUUGUUUGGGAAUGCAGCUCAAAAUGGGUGGUAAAUUCCAUCUAAAGCUAAAUAUAGGCGAGAGACCGAUAGCGAACAAGUACCGUGAGGGAAAGAUGAAAAGCACUUUGGAAAGAGAGUUAAACAGUACGUGAAAUUGCUGAAAGGGAAACGCUUGAAGUCAGUCACGUCUGCCAGGACUCAGCCUUGCUUCUGCUUGGUGCACUUUCUGGUUUGAUGGGCCAACAUCAAUUUUGACCGCUGGAGAAAGGCUUUGGGAACGUGGCACCUUCGGGUGUGUUAUAGCCCUUUGUCGUAUGCAACGGUUGGGAUUGAGGACCGCAGCACGCCUUCAUGGCCGGGGUUUUGCCCACGUACGUGCUUAGGAUGUUGGCAUAAUGGCUUUAAGCGACCCGU